GAGCUAAUACAUGCCAACACGCUCGACUUCUGGAAGGGAUGUAUUUAUUAGAUUAAAAACCAAUGCGUUUAACGACGCUUUUCGGUGAUUCAUAAUAACUGUUCGAAUCGCAUGGCCCUCGUGCCGGCGAUGUUUCAUUCGAGUUUCUGCCCUAUCAACUUUCGAUGGUAAGGUAUUGGCUUACCAUGGUGACAACAGGUAACGGAGAAUUAGGGUUCGAUUCCGGAGAGGGAGCCCGAGAAACGGCUACCACAUCCAAGGAAGGCAGCAGGCGCGCAAAUUACCCAAUCCCGACUCGGGGAGGUAGUGACAAUAAAUAACGUUGCGGGCGCCAACGGCCUCUGCAGUCGGAAUGAGUACAAUAUAACACCCUUAACGAGGAACAAUUGGAGGGCAAGUCUGGUGCCAGCAGCCGCGGUAAUUCCAGCUCCAAUAGCGUAUAUUAAAGUUGUUGCAGUUAAAAAGCUCGUAGUUGGAUUUCGGAACCGGCCGAUUGGUCCGUCCUCUGGAUCGUGUACUGAUCGGUCUGUUCUUCUUCGCGAAGACCGCGUGUGCCCUUAACUGGGUGGGCGCGGGAUUCGCGACGUUUACUUUGAAAAAAUUAGAGUGUUCAAAGCAGGCAGUCGCUUGAAUAUCUCAGCAUGGAAUAAUAGAAUAGGACUUUGGUCUUAUUUUGUUGGUUUCCGAGACCGAAGUAAUGAUUAAUAGGGACAGUUGGGGGCAUUCGUAUUUCAUUGUCAGAGGUGAAAUUCUUGGAUUUAUGAAAGACAGACUACA
This 777-nucleotide ribosomal RNA is filed under the name uncultured marine eukaryote. RNAcentral describes it as "SSU rRNA". It matches the Rfam family "Eukaryotic small subunit ribosomal RNA", at positions 161 to 944 of the family's 1831-position model. The record is from RNAcentral.